This is a long non-coding RNA of Zingiber officinale, 1996 nucleotides long. RefSeq lists it as uncharacterized. The transcript has 4 exons. The record is from RefSeq and is a predicted model, not a curated record. Lineage: Eukaryota; Viridiplantae; Streptophyta; Magnoliopsida; Zingiberales; Zingiberaceae.
GCGCUGGUGAUUCCUUUCUGUUCGCGACAUCUCCUCUCGCGCGGCUAGGGCACGCGACCUCCCACCGCCGGCCGUCUCUUCUUCCUCACCACUGGCCAGCAGCUCUUUCUUCUCUUCACUGCCGUCGGCCGGACCUCCAUCGCCCACCCUUCUUCUUGAUUCCAGCAGCGACAGCAGCAAACACCGACGAUGACUCCGAGCAUCCAGGUCACCUGUACGCCAUGCGCCACCCAAAGCUGCGAAGCAUGACACCCUCCGCCGCUUUUAACUUCUUCAGGAGGUUACCUAGUAAAGUGGAUAUGCUUCUGUCAUCAUCGGCGCCAGGAACACCGAAGCUGCCAGUGAAGUAAAGCAGAGCAUUCUAUAGAGCACCCCCUCUGCUAGAAUCGACAUCAUACAGAUAGAACUCAGUUCGCUCAUGUCCGUCCGAGCCUUCGCCGAGAAGUUUCUUGCCAUGGAUCUUCCUCUAAACAUCUUGAUAAACAAUGCCGGCGUCAUGUACUAUCCGUUUCAACUUUCGGAGGAUGGGAUAGAGAUGCAGCUUUCUACCAAUCAUGUCGGUGAGUAUCUUCUUCACCAUCUCAAAACGACUUCAUUUAGUAAUCGUAAACGAGCAAUUCUUUUUAAGAUUUCCACAUGUUCAUUUUCCAUAUGAUCUUGCAGUGUGGUUUCGUUUUGAUUUCAGGUCAUUUUCUUCUGACCAAACUUCUGCUUGACAAAAUGAAAAGCACAGCAGAGAGGAUAGGAAUUGAGAGCCGUAUUGUGAAUCUGUCAUCCGAAGCUCACAUGACAACAUAUAGAAGAGGAAUAAGAUUCGACAAACUCAACGACAAAGACUUGUGAGAGACCAUUGAUUUUGUAGUUAGACAAACUAAAUCAAUGAAAAUUAGAAGGUGCCAGGUAGAGGAAGAACUAUAUAUGAUAGCAUAGGACUCAUCUUAUGAUGUUAUAUCUAUCCAAGGUCUGGUUGAAGAUUACUUGUGUCUUAAUUUGAAACCUUUUGUCUAACAGCUGCCAUGAUAUUCAUCUAUUUCUUUCCUAGGUGUCUGACUCAAUUAUUUUCCUGAGUGAGAAAUAAACAUAAACCUGUUGUGAAUUCUUAACAUCUAUCAAACUCUUUCCAUCAAAUCACGCAAUAGUCUAUCAGGGGUAAGGAUAGCUGAAAAGUGAAAUGCUAUCAUUCAUAGGAAAACCCUUUGGAUGCUGAUAGGUUAGCUAAUUGAGUCUUUGCUAUUUUAGAGCUUCAUGUAGAUUUCAUUUCAUGUCUUAGGUUUCGUUCUAUGUUUUUCUUCAUGUUGUCUUUCAUAUUGAGUAAUGUUUUAUGUGAAUGUUAAGUGCUUGUAUUAAUUUGACCUCCUAUGUUUCAAUUUGCACACAUUAUGAUUUCAUCGACUCAUGCCCAUUAAGUGUUUUAUUAGUUUCCUGAUCCAUUUUUUUCCUUCUUUCUACUAUUGGCGAAUCUAGUUGUGAUAUUUUUACUUCGAUUAGGGUUACAUGGAGAGAAACAAAAUGAUUGGGAGUGGAAUUUAAAAAUGCUUGUGUCCUGAUCAAUGACUCGCUGUAAUUGUGCCUGAUAGUUGCUGAUGUGAUCCUUUGGAGGAAGAAGAAUGUAACUAUGGGAAUUCUCAUCGGUGUACUUGCAUCUUGGAUCAUCUGUGAGGUAGCUGGAUAUACCCUUCGUCGCUUGUCUCAAAUGUUCUGCUUCUCUUGAUCUCCAUCCUUUUUGUGUGGGCAAAGGAUGCCGAAGUUCUCAACAGAUACACAGUGGUAGGUGUUUUGUCCCAGUCUCAAGCCGACAAUCCUUUUUGAUCAGUAUAUCUAGUAGAAGUAAGCACGCAGAUCGUUGUCUUCGAGGCCGACUAGCUAUUUUUGUGCUUUUUUUGUUUUAAAUUCGAAUGUCACUAUCUACUUUGAAAUAGAACUAUUUAGUCUUUGUGUAUAGUUGAAUUCUCCUGUAAAUACUAAUACUUUGUAAUUGAAUUCUAUUGUUUUGGUA